Molecule: transfer RNA, 75 nt
Filed under: Hyphomicrobiales bacterium
Lineage: Bacteria; Pseudomonadati; Pseudomonadota; Alphaproteobacteria; Hyphomicrobiales
Also listed under: 3 other names
Description: tRNA-Thr
Rfam family: tRNA
About the family: Transfer RNA (tRNA) molecules are approximately 80 nucleotides in length. Their secondary structure includes four short double-helical elements and three loops (D, anti-codon, and T loops).
Source: RNAcentral
GCUGCCGUAGCUCAGUGGUAGAGCACCUCAUUGGUAAUGAGGAGGUCCACAGUUCGAUCCUGUGUGGCAGCACCA